CACCCUGUGUCUCACUGUGCCCAGCGUACCGGACGCCCUCCCCUCCUCCAGCACCCCGGUCCCUUCCGCCUCGGGGCCUUUCCUCAGCUCCUCUGUCAGCUUCCGUCUCAGCAUGGGGGAGACUCCCUGAUGACUCCCCCUAAAGUGGCCACCACUCUCUGGACCGGCUGUGUGGCAUCCCUACUGCCCUAAAGGACCACUGUCAGCUGUUCUUAGACAUCUGCGUUCAGGGAGGAGGUACGGCUUUCCUGAGGCCAGCCCAGCCAGUGGCAGGACAAACUCCAGCCCGGCCCAGUGGCUUCAGACUGGCUCGCUCCCCGCUGGAGCUCCAGCCAGCCUCUACGACUGCCCACCGGGUGAGGGUGGGAGCACGGCUGCCUUCCUGGGCCCGGCCCCUCUGUUGGGUGCUGGGCGCUGCGAGAGCAGGUGAGGCCUGCGUCCCUUGCGGGGCAGGUGGCGUGGACGGUGUGGGUGGUGUGGCCAGCUGUGGGAGGGACAGCUGGGGAGGCCGUGUGGCCCAGGUGAGGGUCCUGUCUGGUGACUGUGUCUGUUUCCUGGCUGCUGCCUCCCCCUCCCCUCAGCCAGCGUGUGCUGUGAAUGCCUGCACUCCUGCGCGCAGGAAGCAGCUUCAUGAACUCAGAUGUGAGGGUGGUGGCCUUAGGGAGGAGAGGCAGUGGGAUUGAGCGGUAGCUUAAGCAGGACUGUGCGUUUGUACUCUGUGAUUUUGUGUUAGUUGAUGUUUUUGUGAUUAUGCAUUCAUGUAAAGACCAAACCAGACAAAAAGCUGCCCUGGGACCUGGCUUCAUUGACCCCUCAGGAGGUCAGCACAACUUUGUUUGCCCUUCUCCAGAAAUGCUCUUAGGUGGGAGGAGGCCUGCAGGGAUCCAGAGAGUUCCUCUGGGCUCUUCUGCUCCUGUCUUUGCCUCGGAGUCCCUGGCCACUUGUUGCAACAAAUAAAAUUGUGGGGGGCUUCCCUGGUGGUCUAGUGGUUAGUGCUCAGGUGCUUCCACUACAGGGGGUGUCAGUUUGAUUCCUGGUAGGGAACUAAGAUCCAACAUGCCGUGUGGCACAGCCAAAAACAACAAGGAAACAAAACACAAAACGUUGGUCUGCUUCUCCCUGAAGGUCCUUUCUGAAGGAAUUUACAAGGUACAAUAACCGUUUUUAGAGUUUCCAGUUUAAUAUUCAACCUGAAUCUUAGGCCAGCUGAGUGAGGUUUGGCACUGUCCUGCCCCGCUCUUGUUCUGUUUAUAAACAUGUUUAUUGCCCUGACAAGGAGCAGGUUCUAUUCAAGAAAACAGGAUAGGCCUGGGGUCCCUCCAGAGGUUAGUGUGCUCGGAGCCUAGAGUGAAGGAUGAGACUCUAUAGGUAAUUUGCAGCCUGGGGAAACAGGGGCCCCUAACUGCUGUCCUUCCCAGAAUAGAGCAGACAGACUAGCUGCUAUUUGGGGUUCUUUUCUGGGGAAGAAAUUUCCAGCAUUUGCGGCACCUGGUCUCGCUGCAGGCAAGGCUCUUCCAACGGGAUGAGGUAAAUGGAUGUUGUCAACAAAACUUCAUUUCUGUGGGAAAGUCCUGUAAAGACAUAUAUCCAGGGACUUGGACAGACACUCACGGCU
Molecule: long non-coding RNA, 1615 nt
Filed under: Bos grunniens (domestic yak)
Lineage: Eukaryota; Metazoa; Chordata; Mammalia; Artiodactyla; Bovidae
Description: lncRNA (ENSBGRG00000016127.1)
Source: RNAcentral